UAAUUGUAUGUUUUAGGGUACUGUAUUCCUGUGUUUGGAACAUUAAUGGAUUGCACUACUGAAGAACAUCUAAAUACUGAAACCAGGCUGAAAAACAGUUAGAAGCCACAAAGGAUUGAUUUAUGAGAAAAGAUGAUCACCGUGGUAUUUGCUAUUAUGAGGAUUGCAGUUAGAUGAUGCUGUGAAACAGAUUCAAUGCUGGAAAUCCUCCUGGUUAUCUGUUCCAAUUCUGGAAGAUGCCGGCCACCAGGAAUGAGUGUCACCAAGGAGUAGAGCAUGAAAAUGGCUGCAAAGGUAUAGGAUUCCAGCACCACUUUCAGAGAACCAUACAAUUGCCUUUAUU
RNAcentral lists this long non-coding RNA (343 nucleotides) under Dromaius novaehollandiae (emu). RNAcentral's name for it is "lncRNA (ENSDNVG00000007858.1)". Lineage: Eukaryota; Metazoa; Chordata; Aves; Casuariiformes; Dromaiidae. The record is from RNAcentral.